Long non-coding RNA from Humulus lupulus (European hop), 619 nucleotides. RefSeq lists it as uncharacterized. The transcript is spliced from 2 exons. NCBI's taxonomy places the organism in Eukaryota, Viridiplantae, Streptophyta, Magnoliopsida, Rosales, Cannabaceae. The record is from RefSeq and is a predicted model, not a curated record.
UAUUUGUUGGAAUACAUGUUUCUUGUUAUAUUUGCGUAAUUACUUAUUAAAUGAAAUGUUAUGAACAGGCCAUGCGAUAAAUAAGCUUUUAAUGGUCUUGCUUGCUAUUUGUUAGAAGGAGCAUUUUUGCUACUGCCUAGGUUGUAAUACAGAUGAUGACUAUCAUCUUUUUAUUUAUACAACUUGCUUUAUCAAUAGAAAAAUAAUAUUAAAUCUAUACUUAUUCAGGGCUGAGGCAACUAAAGAUGAUAGAUUUGGAGCUUUAAGUAGGUCACAGUAUGGUCUUGUUGACCUUGCAGCUGCUUUAUUCUAUCGGGCUUGUGUUAACAGAGAUAAGCCAUCAUCAUCUGAGAAGCGGGUGAAGAGAGAGCAUGCUGAUGCACGUUUAAGAGAAGAGCUCAAAAAAAGGAAAGUGGCUAUGGUAAAUCAUAAACUGAUUGAUUUGGCAAUAUCAAGUUUCCUUUUUUGUAAUUGUUAUUACUUUUUAUAAAGAAAAUGCAACAAUUCUCCCCUUCCUUAAUUUAGGAGUCUAAUAGUUUAUGAGUUGUGUGAUGUGAACAUUGUAAAAUAUAUUAAGGGAAACUAAAUAUAUAAAUAACCACCCUGGUUAUCGGUUUUA